ACAAGUACCCAAGUAACACUUGCACGAGAUUGUAACCUUUGAAAAGAACUUCCACUUUCGUUGGACUCCUAGCAUCCUGCCUGGCGGAUGAUGUGCCAAGAGGAACUGUAUUUCUACUCAUGAUGAGCACGAGCACGCUAAGACCUCACAUCUGAAUUCUCAUCCAACAGUGGUGCUGAUUUUUCUUUUCUUGGCCAAAACUUGGGGCCCUUCUGCUUCCAGACCGUUAGGAUUAUAGUUGUGUUUGACCCUCCCCAGCUCUCCUAUGAGACCUCCCCUUCUGGCGUUUUGAAUGAUCUCUGGGCCUCACUCAUACUAGACCUCGUCCAAAGUCGAGAAUUAAUCAGCAACGUCUUCAAGCUGCUGCCUGAAUCCAAGCUUCUCGCCGCCCCCACUAGCAUCUCCCGAGGCCAAGCCACUAAUUUCCUGCCGAGACUAAUAUCACCGUUCCUUUCCAGUGCCCACAUGGAAUCUGUUUUCCACACAGGAGUAAGUGUGGUCGCUUUAAGAGAUAAGCCCUGCUGUUUUCUGUUAAAAAACACUGCACUCAGAACAGAACCUCAGCGCUUCAACAGCCACGGGGACUUGCUAAUCAAACUAUACUGUGGGGAACUGUCGUAUCAGACCGCAAGGAUCUUUCAGAGUUACGUAAUCUCUGCUUCAAACGGAGUGAACCAGAGCCAGCACUCGGGCGACUUCCGCGUGUGAUUCCUGUGCAGGUUAAAGUUCGAGAAGGAGCAGCUUAGAGUACUGGUCAAGAUCCCGCUCAUCGGCGUCUCUGGAAUCCUCUCUUGCUGUCUGGCUCUCUGGAUUGUUCCAUUCUUGUGGCGCUUCCUACCUGCAAAGUCAUCUUAGAGACCCCCCCUUUUUUUUCUAUGAAAGUCGCACUCCCCACGCCAUCCUCUGCCCCUCCUCUGUCUUUCUAUGCAGUCUUUAUUACGAACUAAUAUCAAGCUGGUCUUUGUCUAGUUUUUAAAGUCCACAGUGUGAGGUAAACGCCAUCAAAUCCAGGAGAUCUUGUUUACUUCAUGUGCAGAUACUCCGUCAACGCACGACAAAUAUUUGAACUUUUCAUACAAGAUAACCUUUCCCCCUGCUUGCACUCUCAAUUGUUCCUUUCUUAAAAAGACAAAACCAAAACCAGAAAACACUCCCAGACCAUUGCUGACCGUAACAGGGAAUUUUACUAGUUAAAUACUGUCUUCCUAUUUUCCCACCAGGGUUAUUUUCCUCUUCGAAAUCUUCCUCACUGUUCUAGCUCUGGAACAGCUGGUUCCUCAUCGCUGCACAGUGCGUUAAAGGAGGCUGAGGAUGAGUUGGGGAGCACCAACCGAGUUUUCUAAAGGAGGCUAAAUACCAUGUAUACUUUGUUCCAGGCAAGGGUUUUUUCUUUUUGCUGAGGAAUUCAUUUCUUUUGUUGUGUGGCAGGUACCUCUUGGAGCUUCUAGACUCGAAGUUCUUCAUAUCAAAGAAGAAACCUUCAACUUCAAUAUUGCUUGUAAGAGUGUGGCAGUAAACUCCAGCCAGAUGGUGGCAACAUUUCAGGCCUGAGGAAUCAACAGCCUUAUCUCAGAUCUGUGAGGCCUUUUGCUCUCCAACGAGCCAAGGAAGAUUUUGAAUGUGAUUGUCUGCCAAAGAGCCUAGGUAGUCCCUCUUAUAGAGACAUGAGUGUUCAAAGCUUUCCUCAGAAACAUACAGAUACACACACACACACACACACACACACACACACAUACACACACACAGAAACACAUACACCCUCUCACAUACAUACACAUACACACAAACACACAGUGACACUGCACACGCACUCACAGACACCAUAUGCACAUACACUCACAGACACCAUAUGCACAUACAUACACAGAUACCAUACAGACACACUCACAGACACCACACACACACACACACACACACCAUACACAACCAUACACACAUAUACACCACACACACAGAUACACACACACAGAUACACACACCACACCCUCCCACAUACACACACAGACACCACACACACAGAUACACACACACAGAUACACACACCACACCCUCCCACAUACACACACAGAUACACACACACAGAUACACACACACAGAUACACACACCACACCCUCCCACAUACACACACAGACACCACACAUACACACCUAAGCGACCACUGCAUCACACACACACACACACACACACACACACACACACACUACAUACAUAUUCUUUCUCUCACACAGACACAGAGACACCAUACACACAUACAUACACAGAUACCAUACAGACAUACACACAUAGACACCACAUAGCAUGUACACACACACACACACCACACAUACACACACACACACACCACACCAUAGACCACACACCAUACACACAUACCACACACCAUACACACAUAUUACAUACACAGACAUACCACAUCACACACAUGUGCACACACUUGCACACAUGCAUGUACACAUACACACACAUGCCUACGCUAUUUUAAACAAGGAUGUUUAGUUAUCAGUCCCAUCAUGAACCUGCGUUCACUUCAGUGUUACUAAAACACAGGCUGUCGCUGUGCUCCUGAAGAAUUCUUCUCAGGAUCCCAUUGCUCCCCUGCCUCCCAGCCUGGGAAUUCAGUCUCUUCUCUGUCAUUUCUACCAUAACCUGGUUAGCUUCUUCGUCCCAGUUUUCUUUCUAUCGAGAGUCUCAUAACAGUGCCAAGAAUUUGUGAGGAUUUUUGGGGGAUGGAUGGUUUUUUUUGAGGGAAAUUAGAUAAACCAAGUUAUUCAGGGUCAUAUAAGAUUAAGAAUUAUUAAAUAUUAAGGAGGGAAAUUCUAGACAGUCCCCACAAGAUGUCUAACAGGAAUCAAAUCGCAGGGGUGUUCGCUGCCUGCAACCGUACUUCCUCAUACCUAUUUGCAGAGAGGAUGUGGCCCCUGACCCGGGUCACAGACUGCAGGGUUAAUUCCUUCAGGGGACAAUCUUAGGAGUUUCAAAAGCUGGUAUUAUAGCCCUUGCAGUUUGCUCAAUUACCUUUCUCUGAGGGCGAGCUAAAAGAAAGACGAGUUUAUACUACUGUCAAGCUUUCUGGGUAGAGCAUGACCUAGUCUCUAUGUGUUGGAUAUUGGCCUAGAACCUAUCAGACACAGUGGGGAGAUGUCAUGGCACUUAUGGCCAAAGCACUAAUUUUACUUAAUAAUGGCCCUGAAGCAAAAAGCAGUCACACUGGCAAUUUUAUUACUACUUCUUGUCAAAAUUGCUCUAUUUCAUUAUUAGCUGUUGCUAGUCUCUGAGAAUGUCUCCUGUGUGAGUUAAGUUUGUCGUGGCGUGUAUGGGAAGGAGCACACUGUGCAUAUGAGGCCCAGCCUUAUCUUAACUCUGGGGCAUGUAUUAAGACGUCCUGACGGUACCCUUCACAGACAGGCUGGCCCAUUGACCAUCCGAAAUGGUACAGUCUAACUUGACUACCUCGAUUGCUUCAUUCUGUCUCCAUUUCCUGUUGGACUCUUAAGUGUAAAGGUUCAUCCCUGCUACACAUCCUGGCUUGUAUUUCUGUCGGACACAUCAGUCCUUGUCAGGAUGGACCACUCAGCUACAGAUUCUAAGCUCUGGAAUAACUAGGCACGGAACAGCAUAGAUCCCAAGGAAAAGGUAAAAGGGAAAAUCCCCUACAUUUAUUAAUUUAUAAUUAUACGAAAUAAGUCUUAAUGCAUUACUGACACUCACAAUGAUAAUUGAACUGAUCUAGACAUAGCACUUUUGAAAAGCAUUGGAUUCAUUUCCAAUGUUCUGGCUUAUUUUAGAAACGGACGUGGGACAACCUUUCCACUUAAAGACAUGCGACUCCCUGGAAGGGGCCUCUGCACAUUUAACUUCGCUGUAAGUAAACAAUGAAUGGGAUGAUAGCGUCUGAACAAAGACUGGUUUGUGUCUUUUGUUCAGAGCAAAGCUCUACACAAGAGUCCUGUCCCUGAGCAACCUUUCAGGGCUCUUUCGAACCCAGCAGACCUCAGCUGCACACGGCUCUAAGGUCUUCCCCACUUCUUUUAUUUUUUUUUAAAGUUCCAGCGGGAUUUUAUUGUCUUUGCUUCUUUUGUUAUAAUUAUAGUAUAGUCCGAAGGUAUAGAAGCUGUAAACUGAAUAAAUAAAUCAGUUUAAUCAAAGGGUGAAAAUUUCCUACCACUCAGAAUUGUCCAUGCAUACAUAUCUAUAACCACAGGACCCUGGGAAAUUGUGAUAGUUUUUAUAUUGCUUUGUAUCAGCAGGGUCUUCCUCUGUUUGUGACAGAGCUUGGGACAAGUAAAACCAUUAAUUACUUUCCUCUGAAUACUGACAGCAGACCAACAACUGCACACAAGUCAACAACAACACACACAACAACUGCACACACGUCACUUUUCCCUCAGACAGAAAGCUUGGAUGGAUACCAGUUCAGAGCGGAGACCUUGAACUUGGAAAUGUGCUUGUGGUUUUAGUUUGAUAGCCUAAUGAAAGCUUUAACCUUUCCUGGUGUAUCUUAAAUGUCUUGAUAACACCCUAAAGGAGGGCAGCCUGAGUCCAAGUACAAGCUGUGUGUGUGUGUGUGUGUGUGUGUGUGUGUGCGCACGCGCGCGUGUGCAUACUCAUGUGUAUGCAUGUAACAUGUGUUAUAUCAUAUAUUGCAACUUGAGAAUCUAAGAAAGUCCCGCAUCUACAGUGAGUGACACUGUGUUUGUGAGUCCCUACCUGACCCCAGUGUCAGAGACCACUACUGGGCUUUCUCUGUAAGGCUUUCGUCUGUCAUGAGACCACACGCCUGAGUUACCUGGCCUUCAUAUUGUUUUGAGGCUGUUGUGAUAGAUAAAUGACCAGAUGACAGUGAGUGGCUGAGAUCAUAUGUUUUGUGUGACGGAACAGUUAUGCCAGAAAUGAAUAGCAACUCAGACUCAUUUCGAAAAUGUGGCUACCCAGUGGGUACCCCAAGGCACAUCUGUAGACACAACCCCACCCUGUUUAUGUCCCCUCACAGGAGAAUUGAUACAGAUACAGGCUUUAUCAGAGAUUUGAUACCUGCCAUAUAUUUCUAGUGAUGUAAGCAGACGAUGUAAAAUUAUCUCUGUACCUUAAGAGAUCAGAGAAAUAACAGAAAACCUCUCAUUAUAAAAUAACCUUUCCUCAUUGAACAUUUAGAAAUUAUGAAGUAGUCAAAACAAAGACAGCAACCAUGCCUAAUUUCAUCCCCCAGGAAGCCAGAGACAUUCCUUGAAAUUAUUUUCUAUUGGAAAGUUGUAAUUUAAUUCACUGUCCAUAUUGGCUGGAAAUAACCAUCUUGCCUCCACCAGUCCAUGUGAACACUAAAGAAACUGAUAAACAGACCAAGAGUAUACACUUCACCACCCCAUUCCCAGGGUACAUAUACAUAAAGGUCACAACAAUAUGGUGUAAAGGUUUCAUCUAGAAAUACUGACAUAUGUAAUGUCCUAGUAAGGUACUAGACUACUAUUAUUUCAGAAGUAGGUGGCCAGAUUUUCAUUCUAAGGUCUUUAAAAUAGUCUUUGAUUUUUCUUAGUGACGUAUUGGGAAGAAAGACAGGUUUCUCUUAAGACACCCAUCCCACCCACACAUAGUGUCCCUUGUUGCCAGUCUCUCAUGAGAGUUAACUCAUUUGCCACAGCUGAUGAACCUACAUGACAUAUUAACAUCACUGGAGGUUAUGGUCUGUGUGGGGAUUCACUCUUGGUGUCUGAUGCAUCUGUAGGUCUUCUGGGUUCAGACAAACAUGUAAUGACAUAUAUCCAUUAUUAUAGCAACCUACAGGGCAUUUUCUCUACCCUAAAACAUCCCUCACUGCUAUGUCUGUUCCCAUAUUUUUACUAUAAUUCUCAUAUUUUGAUUUCAAUUUUGUAAAAAUUUAGUUAUGUAGUUUGUAGUAAAUAGAACUGGAAAUUUAUUAGCUUAGCAGAAAAGAAUUUUUACUUAGGAACUAGGGUUUUGUUUAUUGUUCCACCUGAGUGAGCGAACGCUUACUAUGACCACUUGUUUCUAAAUAUUCAACAAAAAAGAGAUGAUUAAUUUGGCCUGGGCAAUAAACUCUACCCAAUCUUUAAUGUUCAUUGAUUAUAAGCGAAUAAAACAUACCUGCUCUAUUAGCACCAACAUCAACCGGAUAAUAUGUUUACAUAAAUGAUAAUCAUAAUUCUCAUUAGAAGUCAUUUACAUAAAAUGUUCAUACUGAUUUGAAUGAUGAAUUAUACAUUCUAACUUUUGCUCUAGGAUAAUUACCAAGUGUUGAAUUAUUUAUGGAGCUUUCUACACAGCUAGUGGGGGUGCGGACCGGUGUAGCCACUUUAGGAAAUACUUGUGGAGUUCAGUAAAAACAGAACAUAUAUGUUCCCUCUGAGUCAACAGCUGUAGUUCUGAGUACGUACUCCAGAAAGUAGGUAAUUUGUACACACACAUACACACACACACACACACACACACACACACACACACACACACACACACAAACACACACAAAUGUAUGGGCUGGAGAAAUGGUUUGCCACAUAAGUAUGAGAACCCGAAUUCAAACUUUCAGAACUUCUAUGAAAGCUGGGCACAAUGGAAAUCGGAGACGGAAGAAUUUCUGGGAGCCCAGAGGCCAGCUAGCUUGGUAUUCACAAUGACCAGGAAGAAUUUGUCUCCCACAAGGUGGAAGAUGGGGCCCUGUACCCAAGUUUGCCUCUGACUACCACAUGUGUGUCUAUAGUCACAUAGAUAUCAUAUGUUCACAUCACACACGCAUACAGGCACAUGAAAGACUUUUAAAAUGUUUAACAACUUUUAUAGUAGUAUUUUUGGUAGCAGUCCAAAACUAGAGCUAUAUAUUUGUCAAGAGGAAAAGUGAAUGAAGUAGAUAUAAACAUAUACAUGCAUGCACAUAUAGAGAGGAAGAUUUUAUAGCCGUGAGCAGUGAUCUUUUUCUAUAAAGGAAUGCAUAGUAAAAUUAAUAAUUAGAAUGAAAAUAGUUAUAUUUAACAGUAUGGAUAAAUAGCCGACGGUGAGUGUAAGGACAUGUUCCUUAGUUCUACUAGUGUAAAUUGCAAAUGAAGAAGUGAUGAUGAAGUUAAGCGUGUCAGAGUAGAGACUUUGGGAGAAUAUGUCUAGAAGGAAGUUGUGGCGGAACGUUCCCUAAUGAUUAAAGAUUUCAGGGAGCCAAUCACUGGGCGAGUAGGCGGGACUUCCUGUUUGGAGAGGGGAAGAUGGGAAACUGUAGCAAAGAUGGGCUUUUGGAAGGAAGAUGGGGGAAGAGAAAGUCGUUCUAAAUUGCACAUGGCUUUAAAUAGCCACAGGUAGCUGUGAAUAUCUUAUAAGGGAUGGAUAAUUACAGGACGAUUUGUCUUAUCUAGGUGGGCAGUUUAUAUCAAUACCAACUGUCUCUGAGUUCAUUGUGUGGACGUUUUGUGGGGUGAGAGUUUACUGAUAUAAAUCUGGCUGAUAAAUUACAAGCCUCUAGGGUUUUGAUUUUUACCUGGUUUGUGACCGCUAACCACAGGGGUCGGAUGGCUGGGAAUGUGAGCAAAGAGUCUGCAGGGAUGAGAACAGAGAACAGGUCGGCCAGUCUGUUGGUCUGAGAAAAGGCCAGUCUGUCCGCCAGUGUCCUGCCAACGGUAGUGUGGGAUUCAUAGUUUUUUUUUUUUUUUUUUUUUUUUUUUUUUUUUUUUUUUGUUCUUUUUUUUUCCGGAGUUGGGGACCGAACCCAGGACCUUGCGCUCGCUAGGCAAGCGCUCUACCACUGAGCUAAAUCCCCAACCCCGGGAUUCAUAGUUUUUAUUCCACGCCACAGGAAGUAUUAAAAAACCAACCUGUAGUUUCUUAAAGAUGAGCCAACUUCGCAAGGCUUCAUUUUUCUAUAGCUUUAAAAAAUUGCCCAUUUUUCAGAAUUAAGGGACAUUUAAAUUACAAGGUAAAAACAGUAUAAAUGAAGAUAAAUCACUGAAAAAUAGUAUCAGGACAAUCAGAAGUGUUGAUACAUAUCUAAACGGUAACAUCGACUGUUGAAUGGCAUGAAGCUGUUAAGAAUAAAUGUGGAUGCAUAAACAUCAUUAGUUAAUCUUUACUCUUUGAAAGACCUCUCUCCCUCCCCCUCCCCCUCUUUCACUCCUCAAACAAAAUUUCCCUAUGUAGCCUUGGUUGGCCUAGAACUUGCUAUACAUAGAACAGGUUGGCCUGGAACUCACAGAGCUCUUCAAACCUCUAAUUUUGCCUCUAGAGUGCUGGUAUUUAAAGACAUGCAUCAGACCAUAUCUGGCUUAAAAUUUUCUCUCAAAGAAUAGCAUUUGGGACUACUAGUCUGAGAAGCUUUUAUAUUGGAAAACAAAAUUAACACAUAGAGUCUCAUUUUAUGUUUUUUUUUCCCUCUCCCCAAUCAGAGACUUCUCCAUUUUCAACACUUCAAUCACUACAGGGGGAAAAAAAUUAAUGUCUUUUAAUGGGCUAGAAAUGUACAGCGUUCUGCAGUCAUGAGCUUGAGAUCUUGUCCCCUGAGCUUCUAGGUGCUUGGCACACGAGUACGCUGGUCAAAGUUGUCAUCUUGGGGAAGAGUGGGAUACAAGGAAAACACACCGAAGCUGUUAGGUCUGGCCUUUUGGAUGAGUUUGAGUGGUGGCAGUUUAUAAUACCUAGUGUGUGUUUUAUGAAGAUCUAGAGAAGGGAGCUUGAAGGUUCCAAACGUAAGGAAAUGAUGAGACACAGAAAUGAGACUGGAGAGAUGAUUCAGUUGUUACAGGGCUAACUGCCCCCGCAGAGGACCCAGGUUCCUUUCUUAGCACUCCAUAUUACUCCAUCUCUAGGGAAUAUAGCGCCCUCUUCUGGCCUCUGCGGGCUCAGGUGCACACACAGUGCACAUAAACUCAUGCAGGCAACACACACACAAGUAUUAGAUACAUAAAUCAACCUUAAAAAAUGAGGGAAAGGCUAAUGACCUGAUCUAACAAUGGGUACACAGUGGAUACAAGUGUUGAACUAUCACACCAGACUCCAUUAUCAUAUAUAAUUUACAGGUUUAUAUAAAAAACUAAACCAUUAUUAAACAUUCAGAGGUUUGCUUAAGCCAAGUAUCAGUGAAAUCAUCCAAAAUAUAAUCAUAUUCAUUCAUGUUCUGUCACCCAAGUCAUCUUGGCUUUUCACGAGUCACCUAUCUUGUAAACAAGACACAUAAAGGAGGGCUUUUCUUGAUAUAAAAAGGAAAACAGAUAGAAUAGGUACCUUUCGCAGACUACCUGGUAGGAUUAAUGCUUAACAACUCUAUUCAAUAAGUAAUGCAGGAUUUGAGCACUAAGAUGUAAUUUCCCCCCAUGAAACACAGAAACUGUAUGUUUCAAAAAUUCAAUACUUACUUCAAAAAGAUUGAUUUUUUUUUAAAAAGAAGGUAAGAUCGCACAAUGGGAUUUUUGACACUACAGUAUGAUUUGUUGAAAGCGAUAGGACAUGGUACGUCUUCUCCUGUGUUUAGCAGACAUGCUCCAAGAACUGAUAGAUUGGUAGCAUGCCAUGGAAUAAUAGAGAUAUUGUUCUUCACUAGCCUUUUGGGAUUCUAAGCUCCAUUAGCAUUUUGACGUUGGUUCCCGGUCAUUCUCCACAAUGAAUCAGUUAAUGAGGGAGUGCAAGACAAGGGGACCACAACAUCACCAUGAAGCUGAGCGUUCUCACAGUCUUAUACUCUUCCCACAUCUAUCAUGGUUUACAGAUGUCCAGGUACGCGAAUUCCUCCUUGCUAUACAUACGUGCGUGUAGCACUCUAGACAGAAACAUGCUACAUAUGUUUGUAGCCUAGGAUACACACAAUCUAGGAUUUUGUACCAUUUAGCUCGGGUGUGGAGUAGGCUCUUCCUCUAGGUUUGUGUGACUCCAUUCCCAGAUAUUGGAAUAACGACAGAAUCACCUAAUUAUGUAUUUCUCAAACCAUGCCCCCAAUGACAAACAAUACAUGGCCGUAUUGCAGAAUAGAAUGUCUCAGAAUUAAACUGCCAAUUUUCUCUUGUGUUGCACAGAGCUAGAGCUCCUGGAAUCCAGGAUCAGAGUAUAGACAAAAAUAAAGAUUUGUUAGAUUUGAUAACACGGACUAUUUGGUUAGAUUACAAGUCACAAACAUUUUAAAGAUGUUGACCAAAAAUCAAAUGUAUCAGAUCCAUACAUAGUUGUCCACCUUGAAGUUGGACACCAGACAACAAAAAUCAAGGCAUUACCAUCAUUUUGGGAUUUUUCUUCAUGACCUUUUGGUGAGAAGCAAUUAGUAAGUUUUGUAGUGUUCAUGCUGGACUCACAAAUGUCGAAAACGUGGAUUAAUGCGUCAGUUGUGAAGGUUUGGGGCUUAUAAAAACUUCCUUGAGAAUGCACUCAUUAGUUACUUCUCUGUUAAGUUAAUGACCUAUGUAUUGGGAUUAAGAAUCUGAUGAAGAAAUAUUUAGGGAUCCUUUAUAAGAAACAUGACUUUUCCAUAAACAUUUAUAUAAUGUUCUGACAUUCAAACGAGGCAAAGGCAUCAAUUGGUGUAUCGGGAACAAGUAAGCAUUUUUUUUUAAAUAACAGGGAUUUAUUCUGUCAUAAAUAACAGUCAUUUCAUUCUGAAAGUGCAUGAUCAAUGCUUAUAAUCUCAAACUUUUUAAAGCUUUGUAUACUUAUAGCUAUGAAGCAAUUGGUUAGAUAUUGACAGCCCGAGGCCUCGUAAGGUAAUCUAUGUUUACAUAUGUCCACUUAAACGAUAAAAACUUGCAAUGAAAUACAUUUAUAAAAAUGCCCUCCCUUCAGCAAAAGGCUCGAGUACUGUUUUGGGGGUCAAGACUGAAAAGGAUACUGCCUGUGAAAUAUUACAAAAGCAUAGCUGCUGUGUGCAACGCUUGUAGGAAAAAAUCUACAUAACGUAACAUACACCGAGGCUGGUGAGGAGGAGGCGGAGCUGGAGCGGCCAAGGAGGAGCCAAUAGCUUCUACUUCUGGAAAGAACUUUCAUUCUGAGAGGGCGUGGCUUCAUACCACCUGGGCGGAAUUUGUAGAGAGGCCUCUCCUUAUAGGCCAAGACAGGCCAUACCAAAGCCUCGAGUCACCAUUGAAUGGUGCAAGUUUAUGUGUGAAUAUACAGUCUUACGGGUUUUUUGUAUCUUCGUGGGGUUGUUGCGUGUUUCUUUGGAGUUGUAGGACAGUGGUGAGUGCGCGUGUCAGAAUGACAGACAAGAAUGGGAACUCCAUGGGAAUGUGCAGGCACAGUGGAGAAUGGAGGGCAAAUGCAGUCUUUUUGUUACGGAGGGGAGGAAGUUGUGGGUUAGAAUCUAGGCAUCCCCAUGCAGGUUACCUUGGCCGGCCAUUGGAAGAGGAGGAGGAGACGAGGCAGCUAAGGGGAAAAGAGAAGGGGAGGGUCUUUAUGAGCAGAGAGUAUUUACUUCUCUGAAAUGUGUUCUUGGAAAGCGCUUCAAGUUUGGAUAUAUGUGUUUUAAUUUUAAGGAAAGGGUCUCGAAAUAUUAGGUCACAGUUGCUAACUUCAACCAGGUUCUCAGAACUGUUUCUGUGUAUGGGGCAACUGAUGUAAUAGAAACAAUAUUUUUCAAUGCUUUAACUUUUUUUUUGUAUUUUCUUAUAAUGUACAUGGUUAAAGAUAUAAGAACAUAGGGAUAUAAUAUAUAUGCUUGCAUAUAUUGGAUAUACAAUUCCAUUUUAUAUGUAUAUAAAUAUAUUACACAUUUUUAUAUCUCAUUUUGUAUAAUAUUAAUUUCAAAUAAAUAGAUUUAUGUGUUUAUGCCCUCUCUGCUCCUCCUCUCCCUCCUCCCAAAAGUGUCAGGCUGAAAGUGAUUGGAUAGAUGGAAUUAUCUCAGCCCUCACCCAGGAGGCUAUAUAUCCAUAUAAUGUUUCCUUGUCCCCUUAGCUCCAUGCUACCUUUUGUUCACGGGCCUGCUGGUUGCUGUCAUGGAUACCCAUAAGUCUCUCAGGCACUUAUUAGCCUGGGUCUCACUUGAUCUCUGUAAUGCUUCCUUCUGGUAUUAUCUUCUUCCUAUGGAAGCCUCUCCUCUUGGCUAAUAUGGCUACAGUGCCAUUCUCCUGCCUUUCUGUCCCCUUGUUCUAAGUCUCCUACCUUGUAAUGGGUCUCUAGACUCCUCUUGAACAUGCUCAAUCCUUAUGAACAUUCCUUCAACGUCUCUAGGUUUAUCCCAUGUCGAUCCUUACCCUGCCCUGAAUGAUACCCAUUUCCAAUAUAUACCUCUGCCCACAUGGAGUUCUUUCCUUCCAACUUCAAGAUCCCCCCUGUACCUGAGUUUUCUGGGUACCUCAAAUUAAUCACAUCUGGAAUUUAACUCAUGUCCUCCAGGUGCUGUCCUGGGCAGGAGGAAGCCAGCACCUUGUCUACUUAGUAGCAUCUCCUACAUUCAGUCCUUCGUGAAGUCCUAUCGAGGUCCUUCAACGACUCUCGUAUCUUGCAUGUUUUGUCUUCAGUGACAGUUGUCUCAGUUCAGGCAGGGCUCAACAUUCCUCACCUGCUCACUCCUAAGCUGGUGUCUCCUUAGUAGAAGACUCCUCCUGGACAUACACUGCUCCGAGCAGAUGAGCUGUCUCAAGCCUCUUUGUUCCUUUGUGGAUCCUUUGCUCACUAAUCCUUAAAUAGACUUUUUUUUUUUGGUCCUGCCCUACAGCCUUUUCUAGUUUUCCCUGUCUUCUUCAUACCCAAUUAGCUAUUUUGUCUUAUUUUAUUCUGCAGGCAUAGUGACCUUCUUCCUUAUAGAGUCGCUUGUACCUUUCAACACCUUUGUUGCCUAGAACUAUCAACACCUUUCCCAAGGGCUUUCCACCUCAGCUUCCCCAGGCUGUCCCCUGCUUUUCUUUUGCUCCUUACUGAUUAUCCGCCCUUUCCCAUGAGACAGAAGUCCAGUUUACUACAGUUUAACAGGCUGUGGUGCUGGGGUUUGUGUUGCUGCCCAUGACUCUCUCAAGGCUGAGUAUCACCGCCCUUGCCUGUCUGUGCUGGCAGGCAGUACACACAUAUAAAUGCCUGCUAACUGCCCAUGUCUUUCAACUGCAACUUUAUAUGCUGGGGGAGUAGAUUUACUAAAAAACACUUUUUCUCCCUUCAGGGAGAAAACACAGCGGACAUAAUACCAAAACGUCUAUCAUUUCUGGGUUUGACAACUCCGGUUCCUGUCGGUUGGUCUUUUCUCCGGUUGUCAUGUUCAGAUCUUAUUGGAGUCCAGCCGCACCGAAGAGCAUGCUUUGGCGCGUAAACAGCAACCUCCCAUGGGAAGAGACCCGAGAGCUGGGAGACGCUAGCUCACGCAGAGCGAUGCUGACUUUCAAGUACGAGCUUUGAAGGAACAGUGGGCUUGUGGAAGAAGAUUCGAAGCCCGAACCUCAGAGUGAAAUGAUUCUUUUGCGUAUUUUUAUAAGGAUAGAGAAGAUAGACUAGUGGGCCACCUCGUUCCUCAAACACAGCGUCAUGCCCCAGAGCAACCUGCUCGCUCUGCAGAGGAUCCUGCCUCGCUCACCCAUGUCAGCACUCGCUCGCAGCGCUCAGCAGAGAGUUAGGCACCCCCUCUCGCACUGCCCGCCUGCACAGAACUACAGACUUCAACUCAGAGACAGAGAAUAUUCUGCUUGGGAACUGCUCUUUCAUUCCCAGAGGAUCUGACCUGGGUACUGGCCGUGUUAGGGCCUAGCAGCAUGAAGUUUUUGUUUCAUUUUGGUUAUUUUGUUUUUGCUUGGGUUUUUUUUUUUCCUGUAACAACCUGGCCCUGGCACAUUUGAACAAUGCCCGCAGGUGACUACAGCUCCCACAAAUGAUCAGCAUGUAUCCGCUCAGCAAAUGAUGGCCUCCUAUUAGGACACGGGCAGGGAGAUCUUCCAGGUUGCCGCACGCUCAGCAGGGAAUAAAAACCGAGUCGCUGUUUCUGUAAUGUUUAUGUUCUGUGUAUAAUGUGCUGUGGCGGGAGGCUGAGGGACAGCAUGGAGUAUGCGGACAGAAACACAGCACGCCAUUCGGUGCGAAUGUCAUGCUCAGACAAAACAGGGUCCUGGGGAGUGGUGGAAAUUACCCUCCGCUGCUCUCACUUGGGAACGUCCGGGCUCCGUUUUGCAUUCUGUUGCAGUUAGAAAAUGUUGCCCCGAGGCGUCAUUACUUAAACAAGCAUAUGGGAAGAGAAAACGGUGUGCCAGUGAUAUGGACGAUAUACUUUCUAUGUGUAAGCUGAAGUCAAACUGGUGGGGCAUUCUAGUCUUGACAAGUCAAAAUUCGACCCCUGAACUUUCCCCUUUAAGUGUAGACCUUAAUUUUAAUGUCAAGUGAACAUACGGUAGUCCUUCCAGUGGCCUCUCUUUAACAACCAAUAAAGACCAUUUAUAAAUAUUUCCGGUUAUUAUUUCUCAUAUUACUUAUUCCUAAAGAGCGAACAUGCACAUGGAAAUGACUACUUGCUUGGACAACUCGAGGUGGUUUCAUUUUCAAAAUACGCCAAAGCUGUUCACUACUCAUUUAAAAAAAAAAUCCAUCGGAAAUAGGUUGCAACUAUGGCUCACUUCGCUAAUCUCAGAAACCAGAGGCAGGAGGCUCACUGAGAAUUUGAGGUUAGCCUGGGCUACAUAAUAAGUUCCAAGGCAGUCAGAGCUAUAUCAUAAGAUGCUAGAUUUAAAAAAUAAGGAACCGAGGAGGGAGGACAUUGCUCAGAAGUUACAAGUACUGGCUGCUCUUGCAAAGGACCUGGGUGUGGUUCCCAGCAUCCACAUGGUGGCUCGCCAUCAUGAUUAAUUCUCACACAUCUCACACCCUCUCCUGGCCUCUCUGUAGGCACUGCAUCCAUGUGGUGCUCAGACCACACAUUAAAUUAAAAAAAAUAAAGGGUUCAUUUUACGAGGAACUGACCUAUAGUUUUGUUUAAUACUAUGUAGCAGAAAUGAGUUUACAGAGUGUUUCACGAUACUUUAUAACUACUUGAAACCUGCCCUUGAACUGCACUCACACCAAAGGCUAGAGCUGUUGGCCUUCCAAGACUUGUUACUUUUAGAGAGGAUGUCAGCAGUCUGUUAGGGUUUUCAUUCCUUCACACUGUUCCCCUUUACCCUGUUGGUGGCCUGAACGCGUCCUUCCCAUCCAUUUCCUUGUAUCACUGCUUUUGGAUGUGGCCUUUUAUACCACCCCAGUCCUGCUACUGGUCUGCAUUCACAGCUAAACCCCACGCCCCUCGCAUUCCAGCUCCACAGAGUCUCUUCACUGGAGUCUCAACACCUUUUUGCCUUAAAAAAUGAUUCGUUCUUGUUACGUUCAUGGCCCACAUCUGGGUUUCAAGAGUUGAAUCUCAUCGGAUUGGAAGCAUUUUGAAGGAAGAGUCUGCUCCAGUUGGUCUCUGGUUGCCAGUCUCUCAUACAGUGCCUUGCACUGUGAUAAAUAAUAAUAAUAAUAAUAAUAAUAAUAAUAAUGUUUAUUAUUUAUCAACUUAUUGUCGGGUCACCGAUAUUUAGUGUUGGCCCCAUAUUAAAAUAUCUCAUUCCAUCAUGGAAAAACCCCUUCACCUAGAAGGGAGAGAUAUUUCUAUUUCCACCUUGUAAACGGAACCUGAAGAAGGGGUGAAACGGCUUGCAUGAGAGGACUGCACGGUCAGCGUUUCAGGGCUGAGGCUGGAGUACAGACUGAGCUUGUGUUGAGUGCUGAUACACUAUUUGACUUUAGUGUAUCCCAUUACUCUGAAAAUUAUCAAUCCAGCUCAGCGUUUAUGUAGCACAUUUCAAACGUCUAACGCAAACAUCACAUGUGAGCCAGACAGGUAAUCAAGUUCUUCCAGAACAUUCAAAUGGCCACACCACUUAAGAGCAUAAAUGAAAUCAAGUAUGAAACAGCAGCAAAGUCACAGACUAUUCCAAACUAGAAAAAAAAAACUUGAUAAAAACAGGGAAAAUGAGCCAAAAUAUCAUAAGUCACAAAUGAGGGAUUUUUAUUUUAAUAGAACCCUGCUCUGAAAGUAGGAGAAAUGGGAAGAGAAAAAUGACCCACAUCUGAUGUUUGGCUUUUUGAAAUUUCUUUUUACGAGAGAAGUUUAUAACUUUACAGAGUAUGGCUAACAUAUGAACUAAGAACUGAAUCAACAACAAUCAUUCUUUAAAUAUUCCCCAUUCUUUUUGAUAAGCAGUUUUCUUUUAUAUCCUUGGAAAGAAACAUUAGUAAUUUGGGAUAUUCCAUAAUUUUUUUGCAUAAUUAGAGAUAAUUCCCUGUCUGCUUCCUUGUUCUUUACAGGGUCACUUCCUUACAGUUUGUUAAGGAACACAUUUUGCCAUAAAGCCGUGUGUCUUCUGAUAUAAUUACGUAAGUUCUAAAGUUAAUCGGAAUUGACGAGAGAGCCAUACAUAAGUAUAGACAUGGGGUUGGCAGUGGAGGAAACUUGGAAGUCACUGACCUAAGCGUGAAGCAGAGAAAGGAGCCGUUUACUACAGUCCACUCGCUGACUUGGUGGCCGCAGUUGGCCACCGUGAGCAAGUUUAAGGACUAAGCAGCUAAUUCUCAGCACAGACAGCUUCGCAGCACACAAUUUACCCUCUAACCCCACCUGAGCUGUUCUCCUGAUACCAGAAAAUGAGUCUCUGCAAAGCCCAUACAGGACAGUAAUUAGUCCCUACUAAUAUUGGAUUUAGUGCUUUGGAGUCACUCAAGGCGACUGUGGCAUUUACGUAUCAUUUAAGGUAAUGAGCCAGCGGCAUGGUUUUCUGAGAGGGUGGCUUGUUCCAUAGAAGUCAUGAAGUAGACCAUUCAACAUACAAAAAUCGCCUUCACUCUAGAAUGAUCUGAGUAUUCACUGGCGAGGAAGAAGGACCCGAAAAAUUAUUCCUGGCUAGUGAGUCUCAUGCUAUUCCUUAUCACACCUGUUUAAACCAGACCACAGCCAGAAUCUAUGCAGGGACACCCAAAACUGAAGUGGGGUGGGGGAAGGAGGGAGGGGGGAACAGAGAAAGGAAGGUCCAGGAGCUUAAGAAUAUAGAAAAGUCGUAGGUUGGCUCCCAUCAGAGAUCAAUACUGGGGUAGCAUUAAACAUCCAAUAUAAAGUUUUGGAAAUAUGGGUUGUAUAUAUUUUGUUCUCUUAGUUGGAAAUUAUGAUUAAUUUGAAGUAGUGUUAUCAAAAAUCACCUGAAAAAAAUUAUGAAAAUUGUGAAAAAAUACCAGGUACCUUACCCCUUGCUUUCAGAGAUAAAAUGUUUUCUCAAGAAGCAUUCCAGGAAGUGGUAAAUACAUGCCUUCAUAGGCUUCUCUUAAAGGAAGAAAUAACCUACUAAUGUCUCACACAAGACAAAGGAGACACCUUCAUAGACCUUCCUUCUUAACGAAAUACAAAAGGGUCUCAGUUUUAGUGAUGACAUCAUCAUCAUCAUCAUCAUCAUCAUCAUCAUGAUGUGAAUUUCUCUUGUUUAUGUUAGGGAAAUGAAUCCCUCAAACUUUUUCCCCAUCAUCUCACACUAGAGAGUCCUUGUGAGUUGCAGGCUAACGGCAAAUCAAUCCAUCUGUAUCAAUAUCAGGAAAGCUUUAUUUUGGUAUUCUUUCAUCUGUGAUUUCAAAGGACUUUAUCAAUGUUUGAAGCAAGACUUGCAUCAUUUCCCUUAAAGGAUAAAUAGGAAAAAAGUCUAAAUCCUCUUCGGUGUGAGGUCCUUAAGGGUGUGGACAUUUCUACUGUGUGAGAGACUCCAAGUAUCUAGCAUGACCUCUGUUACACACCACUGUGCAUUCUAGGUGGUACAUAGAUAGUGUUUACAGAUAACACAUCGUGUGUCCUUCCUACGUGUUCUCCAUCAAAACUGUCAU
Rattus norvegicus (Norway rat) is the source of this 17758-nucleotide non-coding RNA. NCBI's taxonomy places the organism in Eukaryota, Metazoa, Chordata, Mammalia, Rodentia, Muridae. The record is from RefSeq and is a predicted model, not a curated record.